AUACGGAGGGUGCAAGCGUUAUCCGGAAUCAUUGGGUUUAAAGGGUCCGCAGGCGGAUUAAUAAGUCAGUGGUGAAAUCCUCUCGCUCAACGAGAGAACUGCCAUUGAAACUGUUAGUCUUGAAUUCGGUCGAAGUAGGCGGAGUGUGUCAUGUAGCGGUGAAAUGCAUAGAUAUGACACAGAACACCGAUAGCGAAGGCAGCUUACUAGACCUGGAUUGACGCUCAUGGACGAAAGCGUGGGGAGCGAACAGGAUUAGAUACCCCAGUAGUCC
This 274-nucleotide ribosomal RNA is filed under the name uncultured bacterium. Its description in RNAcentral is "partial 16S ribosomal RNA". It matches the Rfam family "Bacterial small subunit ribosomal RNA", at positions 523 to 796 of the family's 1533-position model. The record is from RNAcentral.